Molecule: long non-coding RNA, 582 nt
Organism: Bubalus bubalis (water buffalo)
Lineage: Eukaryota; Metazoa; Chordata; Mammalia; Artiodactyla; Bovidae
Exons: 3
Source: RefSeq, a predicted model, not a curated record
AUGACAGGUGCCAAUAAUGCAAGAAGAGGGGCAGGGAGUGAACCCAGAUGAAGGCAGCAGCUCAGAGAACUGUCAUGAAGCUGAAAGGAGUGAUGAGCGCAGAACUUCUAGAGGUCUAAAAGGAGGAGGACUUAAUUGGCAAUUAGAUGUAGACCUGGAGACAGAGCAUGGGAAGGAACCUGACUGUAUAAAUGGAAGAGACAUCUGAAAUGCUGAAGAACAAGGACUUCCAAGCUAUGAAGUGUUUGCAACUAUUUCCUGAUACCGCUUCACCCUGGAAAAAGUGAGCUUGAAUACUAUAUUCACUCGAACAUUAGGAGCAGCAGCAGAAGAAAAUCUGAAGUGGCCAUCUGCCAUCCAGCCCUAGAAUCAUCCUUAAUUUUGUUUCAUGGUGACACUCCUGCCUGGUUCAAGACAUAGCUGACAGACCUCCCUUUCACUUGAAGUCUCCAUGUCCGAUAAAAAAUGGGAUACUUGAGUUUAUGCAGCUGUUCACCAGCUAAUUAUCUGCAAUCAUUUCUGAUUACUUAAUAGGCCAUGGUAGGAUGUGUGUUUGCUGCUAUGCAGAGUUUACACAUUAGG